This 87-nucleotide transfer RNA is filed under the name endosymbiont of Acanthamoeba sp. UWC8. It matches the Rfam family "tRNA". From Rfam's summary of the family: Transfer RNA (tRNA) molecules are approximately 80 nucleotides in length. Their secondary structure includes four short double-helical elements and three loops (D, anti-codon, and T loops). The record is from Rfam by way of RNAcentral. Lineage: Bacteria; Pseudomonadati; Pseudomonadota; Alphaproteobacteria; Holosporales; Holosporaceae.
GGAUGGAUGGCCGAGCGGUUUAAGGCACCGGUCUUGAAAACCGACGUACGUUCGCGCGUACCGUGGGUUCGAAUCCCACUCCAUCCG